AAAAACAUCGCCUCUUGCUAAACCAAAAGUAUAAGAGGUCCCGCCUGCCCUGUGACUAUAUGUUUAACGGCCGCGGUAUUUUGACCGUGCGAAGGUAGCGCAAUCACUUGUCUUUUAAAUGGGGACCUGUAUGAAUGGCAUAACGAGGGCUUAACUGUCUCCUUUUUCAAGUCAGUGAAAUUGAUCUCCCCGUGCAGAAGCGGGGAUAGGCACAUAAGACGAGAAGACCCUGUGGAGCUUCAGACACUAAAGCAGAUCAGUAUUAAUACCCUGAACAUAAGGCACGAAUAAGAUGAUUCCUGCCCUAAUGUCUUCGGUUGGGGCGACCGCGGAGAAAUAUAUAACCCCCGCAAGGACUGAAUGUACUACAUUCACAACCAAGAGUGACAACUCUAAUUAACAGAACUUCUGACCAAUAAGAUCCGGCAAUGCCGAUUAAUGAACCAAGUUACCCCAGGGAUAACAGCGCAAUCUCCUCUUAGAGUCCAUAUCGACGAGGAGGUUUACGACCUCGAUGUUGGAUCAGGACAUCCUAAUGGUGCAACCGCUAUUAAGGGUUCGUUUGUUCAACGAUUAAAGUCCUACGAGAUCUGAG
RNAcentral lists this ribosomal RNA (595 nucleotides) under Epinephelus itajara (Atlantic goliath grouper). RNAcentral describes it as "partial 16S ribosomal RNA". It matches the Rfam family "Bacterial large subunit ribosomal RNA", at positions 1809 to 2609 of the family's 2925-position model. The record is from RNAcentral. Lineage: Eukaryota; Metazoa; Chordata; Actinopteri; Perciformes; Serranidae.